UACGUAGGUGGCAAGCGUUGUCCGGAUUUAUUGGGCUUAAAGGGUGCGUAGGCGGUCCUAUAAGUCAGUGCUGAAAUAUCCCGGCUUAACCGGGAGGGUGGCAUUGAUACUGCAGGACUUGAGUAGAGUUGAGGUUGGCGGAAUUGACGGUGUAGCGGUGAAAUGCUUAGAUAUCGUCAAGAACACCGAUAGUGUAGACAGCUAACUAAGCUCUAACUGACGCUGAGGCACGAAAGUGUGGGGAUCAAACAGG
Molecule: ribosomal RNA, 253 nt
Filed under: uncultured bacterium
Lineage: Bacteria
Description: partial 16S ribosomal RNA
Rfam family: Bacterial small subunit ribosomal RNA
Source: RNAcentral